This 190-nucleotide ribosomal RNA is filed under the name Actinopolyspora sp. RNAcentral describes it as "16S-23S intergenic spacer". Lineage: Bacteria; Bacillati; Actinomycetota; Actinomycetes; Actinopolysporales; Actinopolysporaceae. The record is from RNAcentral.
AAGGAGCAAGUAGGCUGCGCGCGUGUUGGGGUACUGUUGGGUUCUCUGGGGGCGCACCUGUGUGGUGGGCUCGCUGGUGUGGUGGUUGACAGGUGGAUAGUGGUGGCGAGCAUCGUUGUGUGAUGUCGCGUGUGUGCGUGAUGUCGUGACAGCUUGGUUUUGUUGAGUGCAUGGCCGUGUGUGGCUGUGU